This 304-nucleotide long non-coding RNA is filed under the name Manihot esculenta (cassava). RNAcentral's name for it is "long non-coding RNA (MESC_LNC005380)". The record is from RNAcentral. Lineage: Eukaryota; Viridiplantae; Streptophyta; Magnoliopsida; Malpighiales; Euphorbiaceae.
GCGCCUCCCGCCGAUCGCUCCUCUGCUCCACGCUGUCAACGUCGUUCUACGUUCGGUUCCUGCGUCCGCUGGUCUGCUUGCUUCUUUGCUCUUCUCCGCCGCUUCCUCUGCUCCAGUCUUACCGUCGGGUGCUGCUCCUCGCCGCGCCCUCAGUCACUGCACGAUAAUCUUUUGAAGGAAGAGGUAUUUUAUUUUAUCAUAUAAUUAAGCUAGUAAUUACUUAGUGAAUCUCCACCAUCUUCGGCUUGUCCUAAGCUUAAAGGAUGGCAGAAGAAGAGGGAUGAUUCGACAGCACUUGAGCNNN